RNAcentral lists this unclassified non-coding RNA (200 nucleotides) under Oryza sativa (Asian cultivated rice). RNAcentral describes it as "partial microRNA MIR451g precursor". Lineage: Eukaryota; Viridiplantae; Streptophyta; Magnoliopsida; Poales; Poaceae. The record is from RNAcentral.
UUGGGGGGUCGAGAUAUCCGGUUUUGUGGUUUAGGGUUACGGAUUAGAUUUCGAUCACUCUUUAAGGGUCAUGAAGUGAACUUAUUCCUGUAGGAAACUAUGUUGGAAAAAGUACACCGAAGGUCCCUCAACUUGUCAACGAGUUACAAAAUCGUCCCCUAACCGCAAAACCAGAUAUCCAACGUCCCUUAACUAACCAA